CUGAGAGGGGCACAUUGAUCUGGGUCGCACGUUUGUGAAACCCACCUCCCACUUUCUUCCUCAGCCGUCCGAUGUGGUGAAUUUUUUCUCACCAGUUGCUUCUCUGGAUGAGUCUAUGGCGCCUGGGGCCAGCUACGUGCGGGGGCCAACGGUUAGAGACAGCCAAAUACACUCGUUCGGGUCGCCUUCCGUCUCCAUCCGCGGGACAGUGAAAACCUAGAUCGAGACAUCCAAAUCCGCUCCCCAAUCCCCGCCCCUCCCUCCUCGCCAAUCCUCGUCUCACCUCCUCCCGAAUCAGCGGAGGCCAGCGGCGCGCCGCCUCUCCCCCGAGAUCGAGCCGGUCGUGGGCAGGAUGAGGUGUUGCAGGAGCGCGCAUAGAGGAGGAGGGCGUCGGCGACGCCUCGUCCUCUCCUCUUCCCGUCCUCUCGUCUUCCUCCGUCCUUGACGUCCCACGGCUUGGGCGGCCCAUUUGGGUGGUGUCGUCGGGGGUGGCGGGUGGAGGCGAGGCGGGCGCGGCCGGAGACGGGCUGGCGCGGGGCGGAUCCGCGGCGGCAGCGACCGGAGGUGUUGGGCACGGCCGGAGACGGUCCGGCGCGGGGCGGAUCCGCGGCGGCGAGGCAGAGGAGGAACGGUCAAGAAUCGCAGUAGGAGGGGCGGGAUCCGGGGAGGACAUGCGGGAUCUGGUCAUGCCGGUUCUCCUCUGCGUUGCUGCUUGGGCUGCUCCCUCCUCGUGGCUGCCUCGUCUCCCCCAGGCUUUGGAAGAUUUGGAUGGAGCACAGGUCGGGAUUGGUGGUGCACAGGCGAGCUCGGACAGGGGCGGGCACAGGCGAGCUCCACCUACAGCAGGGAGCGUCACAUCCCAAUAUCUACCAGGGAUCUGCUGCAGACACUGUAGGCUUUGGAAGAUUUGAGCACAAGUCGGGAUGCUCCCGUUCAUCUUUGGUUGUUUCCUUUCCCCUCUCUCUACGUUUGGAAUCCCAUGCCAAAAUCGAAGGUCACAACCCCCAGGCGAACAUUGCUCCAUCUGAUCUCUUCGUGUCCUUUUUAUAAAAAUUCUAACAUGUUUGGUUGUCCAAUCUGUCAUUAUUUUCUUGUGGAUUAAUGAACAACUUUGUAGCGAUGCAGCAAAGCUAUCCUCCCGUGGGCCUUUCUUCCAAGAUUUUGGGAUGGGCUGUGUCUUGCUUGACAUGGGAGACGUUCACAUAAUGAGAGCUGCUCAAGGAUGCUUCUAUCCUCAACAUGAUUCCUGGAUACAACACAAUAUCAGCAGCAUAUGCAUCUUGUAGUCUUUGUUCUUUUUUUUUGUGAAAACUUCAGUAGUAUUCCUCUAUAUGCAGCUAUUUUUUUAGUUAAUGCUAAUUAUGACUAAAAUCUUAGCACAAAAUGCUUUUAUAUACAUCUAUAUUUAUCUAUAGCUGAUAUCAGGUUUUUGCAAUCAGAACAUGUAUUUGCUGCAGUCCAACAUAAAAGGCGAGGGUGCGCCGCGAGCACCGCCAAGCCGUGCGAGGAGCCUAGGCUAGACCAAUGCUGGAAUAGGGUCACACUUUUGUUUGGCACGCAGACAGAUGCUAUUUUUUCGGUUGCUUCGAUGUGUUAUAAUGGUUUCUCUGGUGCGAACACGAAUAUUUCUAUUGCAUAUGUACUCAGUGGCAUUCCAGGCAGACCAGCACCGACACAGUCUUCGCCAAGGCUAGGCGAGUUAUGAGAAUGAUGUGAGAUGGAAUUGAAGGUGAGCAAACAAUUGAAGCUUGUUAAAAAUGUAUGUACAGUGUGGCCCUCUAGCUAUAAAGUGAGGUGGAAAGCUAAGAUUACUUUCCUGACCAUUGAGGACUAUGAGAAUAUGAGUACAUCCAACAGAAACACAUUUUCAAGUCUGCCUACUUGGUGAGUGCAACGUCAACAGUGUCGCCAUUGUCUGACACCCUCAACACUGGCUGGAUGCGCUCAAUGUAGAAUUAUGUCAAUAAGCAGUCUGUCGUUGAUGGCCCACAUGAAUCGGCUCCUAAUAGCACGGAACCUGGACAACAACUGUUAAGUGGUUUGGUGCUAAGAGUGAGUACAAUGUUCUUGUUAUGUUCGUGUUGGGACCAAGCCUGGAACAUUUUUUCUGCUCUUGCAACAGAAAACUGUCGCUCAAAACUGUGGUUAUGCAAAUGGUGCUACUCUCGUUGAAAAUUAUUGGACUCGAAGAAUUUGAAAUGACUUUACCUGAUGAACCUGACGAAAGAGAGGGAUUAGUUUUCUCAAAUUUGUUGCACCUGACACUACCAAAAGCGCAUUUCAGAAUGGUGUCUUCAGCCUAUGCUCCCUUGGGGCGAGACGCCAUUCCAGCUCGUGUGUAUAAAGAUCCAGGAGAUAAAAGUGUUCCGCUGCUGACCAAGCUUGAUCCUUUUGACCACAUGAACUAUUGCAAUAUGAUGUUUAGAUUAUAUUGUCGGAGAAAGGUGUAGGCAAUUGGAAACUUCCUCAGUUUAGCAGUUUGAGGCAUAUAAUUUUCUUAUGUUGAAGGCAAGAUACAUCAUUAUUUCUUCUUGUGGCUGAAAGGGAUAGCAAGUGUCUUUGAGAUCCUAUCAGUAUUAAUUGAUGUAUACAGAGAUUAAAUUUUGACAUUCAUAUAUUUAUGAGGGGCUAGAAGACUGAUAUAUCAUUAUAUAGUAGGAAGUAAGAUAAUUACUUUUCCGUUGAUUCCCUUUUCGGAAAUUUUAUAUUCAUAUCUUUGAUAUCAACACUCGGAAGUUAACCCAUAUGAGUAUGUGAUCUACUAAAUAACACCGAGACAGUCCUAGGCAUGAGUGAAAUCAAGCUAAAUGAUUAGCAAGACCGUUUGGACUGAAUAAUGUUCCACGCGAGAGAAAUAGCAUGCUGAUAUUAUCCUGAAAUAAAAGCAUAGGGAGGGGACGAGUGCUAUCUGUGUGUUUAAUUUUCAUGACUAUGAAACUCAGCUCAUCCUUUCUUUGAUUCUGCACUUCGAUACUUGAAUUGCCUCUAUGGAGCCCACCCCGGGAGAGGUGGAGGCCUGCGGAUCGAGCCGGAUGGGGUGGCCGCCGUGGCGCGCGGGCGAAGAAGGAAAUGUUGUGGCACGUCCCUGAAGAGGGCAUCGGCGGUGGCACGCCAAUCGAGUCCACCACAUCCUGGGCCUCAAGAUCUUCUCCGGCUGUGGCGAUAGGAACCGCUUGCCGCCGUCGUCAAGGAAGCUGCACAAUAUGAUGGUGGUGGAUCCCGCAAGACCAGGGGAGUUUCCAUGAAAAGAAACGUGGUCAAUGGCUCUAGGGUGACGUGGACCUCCAGGACAAGGUAACGAGCAAAUGCUUCUUCGAGGCUGAGAUCGGCGGGGAGCGCGUGGGCGAGGUGGUCAUCAAACUCUUCGGCGAGGUCGUCCGAAAGACGGUUGACAACUUCCGUGCCCUGUGCACUGGUAUAGCAGGCUAAUCAAUACUAUGCAAAUUAGCGCUCUGUUUUGGUUGGGAAGGAGACAAAGGGUACGUAUACAAGGGCCGCUUCUUCCACCGAAUCAUCAAGGAUUUCAUGAUUAAGGGUGGGGAUUUCCAGGAAAACAAUGUCUGAAGAGCAUUAGUGUCCUCUGUUCAGCUUUUUCUCUUCGUCUAUUCGGCAGCCGCUGUUGGUGGAUGACGGCAGCCUCAGGUGGUGCAUGGUGGUGCCUGCCACAUUGCCUUGGGUCCUUAUGAAAAACAAACACAUAAUAUUGCUUUGGGUCCUGUUAUAGCAACAUUUUUGUUAUGGCCAAAACAUACCAUUUCUUUGUUACAAGAAGUCUGGGUUAGUAAAUGUAUAUCAUCUGAGUCACACUGGUCUGUGCGCCAUCAGCAACUUUAGAGUGGCACUCUUUUCGGAUUAGGGGUUUAUUCCAGGCUCAUUACACUCAGAGGAUAUAUCAACUACUCUUCUUAACACCAGGAGGAAUGAUGUCGCUUGCCAUGAAGUCGAAAACAACAACUAGGCCAAGUGUGUAGUAGUUGAUGGUGGAGAUUUGAAAUAUUGUUCGUGAAGGAUGCUGAUGUUAUCGCUAAACUCAAGGACUUCCUGAAAAAUAAUGUUUCUAUCAUCUAUGGAUGUCCUGAGUAUCUAUAAUGGGAUCUUACUCAAUACUUAAUUUGUUAUUCCUCUAUAUCCAGAUGCUAAUUGGAUAUACAUUUCACUCCAAAAAUUGAGAGGGCUGAUUCAAUUCCAAACCCACAGUCAAUUAUUCCAAACCCACUGAUGCCCUGUACUGUCAUGUGCAUGUCGGCUCUCAAAAGUACCAGCAACAUUUGAGAGCAUCAAGAGGAGAGUCGUCGGUGGUGAGCGUUGAGACGCUCCAUGCUUCUGACUACACCUCUUUGUUAUGGUAACCAGCGUGUUCAUAUAGUAUUUUCCUUUCCACCUCCAUCAGUAGUUGAAAAUUACAAGUUAGUGUUGAGAUCUUUCAAAUAUUAUUAGGAUACAAGGGAAAAAGCCUGUGGUUUGAUCAACUAUUGGUGUCUUGCUGUGGCUACUAUUGGGAGAUCAUGAAUGCUCUCUUCACACUCAGAAUUUGUACACAAUAAUAUUAUAUCUACUAUGGAAACUGGGGAAUAAGUGUCAAAACAGUUUUGUCAAGAAACCGAUUGAUGAUUUGGUAUAUUACAUAGGCCCAUUUUAUCACUUUCUUCCAGUUUAUGGCCUCUUUCUGAUGUCUUUUUUCCUUUGCCCGCUAUAAUUGAUGUAUUAGUACUCUACUGGUUCCUUAUACUCCUAUUUAGAGGUUUUCCCGUUUAUCA
Molecule: non-coding RNA, 4757 nt
Organism: Lolium perenne
Lineage: Eukaryota; Viridiplantae; Streptophyta; Magnoliopsida; Poales; Poaceae
Source: RefSeq, a predicted model, not a curated record